UACGGGGGGGGCAAGCGUUGUUCGGAAUUACUGGGCGUAAAGGGCUCGUAGGCGGCCAACUAAGUCGGAUGUGAAAUCCCCAGGCUUAACCUGGGAACUGCGUCUGAUACUGGAUGGCUUGAGUGUGGGAGAGGGAUGCGGAAUUCCAGGUGUAGCGGUGAAAUGCGUAGAUAUCUGGAGGAACACCGGUGGCGAAGGCGGCAUCCUGGACCACGACUGACGCUGAGGAGCGAAAGCCAGGGGAGCAAACGGG
RNAcentral lists this ribosomal RNA (253 nucleotides) under uncultured bacterium. RNAcentral's name for it is "partial 16S ribosomal RNA". It matches the Rfam family "Bacterial small subunit ribosomal RNA", at positions 524 to 776 of the family's 1533-position model. The record is from RNAcentral.